GACGGAGGGUGCUAGCGUUGUUCGGAAUGACUGGGCGUAAAGGGCGCGUAGGCGGCCGCUUGCGUCGGAUGUGAAAGCCCGGGGCUCAACCCCGGAACGGCAUCCGAUACGGGGCGGCUCGAGACCGAGAGAGGUGAGUGGAAUACCCAGUGUAGAGGUGAAAUUCGUAGAUAUUAGGAAGAACACCAGUGGCGAAGGCGGCUCACUGGCCCGGUACUGACGCUGAGGCGCGAAAGCGUGGGGAGCGAACAGG
This 253-nucleotide ribosomal RNA is filed under the name uncultured bacterium. RNAcentral describes it as "partial 16S ribosomal RNA". It matches the Rfam family "Bacterial small subunit ribosomal RNA", at positions 524 to 776 of the family's 1533-position model. The record is from RNAcentral.